RNAcentral lists this ribosomal RNA (427 nucleotides) under uncultured bacterium. Its description in RNAcentral is "partial 16S ribosomal RNA". It matches the Rfam family "Bacterial small subunit ribosomal RNA", at positions 355 to 774 of the family's 1533-position model. The record is from RNAcentral.
UGGGGAAUAUUGCACAAUGGGCGCAAGCCUGAUGCAGCCAUGCCGCGUGUAUGAAGAAGGCCUUCGGGUUGUAAAGUACUUUCAGCGAGGAGGAAGGCGUUGUGGUUAAUAACCGCAGCGAUUGACGUUACUCGCAGAAGAAGCACCGGCUAACUCCGUGCCAGCAGCCGCGGUAAUACGGAGGGUGCAAGCGUUAAUCGGAAUUACUGGGCGUAAAGCGCACGCAGGCGGUCUGUCAAGUCGGAUGUGAAAUCCCCGGGCUCAACCUGGGAACUGCAUCCGAAACUGGCAGGCUAGAGUCUGGUAGAGGAGGGUAGAAUUCCAGGUGUAGCGGUGAAAUGCGUAGAGAUCUGGAGGAAUACCGGUGGCGAAGGCGGCCCCCUGGACAAAGACUGACGCUCAGGUGCGAAAGCGUGGGGAGCAAACA